This 265-nucleotide signal recognition particle RNA is filed under the name Candidatus Poribacteria bacterium. RNAcentral describes it as "signal recognition particle sRNA large type". It matches the Rfam family "Bacterial large signal recognition particle RNA". From Rfam's summary of the family: The signal recognition particle (SRP) is a universally conserved ribonucleoprotein involved in the co-translational targeting of proteins to membranes. Archaeal SRP consists of a 7S RNA and homologues of the eukaryotic SRP19 and SRP54 proteins. The record is from RNAcentral. Lineage: Bacteria; Candidatus Poribacteria.
UCGUGCUAAGCGGGGAGCUAGCGGUGCCCUGAACCUGCAAUCCGCUACAGCAGGGCUGAAUUCCUUUUCUGCGGCUUAUCUUUUUUGAGGCUGGCUUAUGCAAGUGGCGAUGAAGGUUGGGUCCUACGCAACUUGAAAGGGCUGAACCCCGUCAGGUCCGGAAGGAAGCAGCGGUAGGCUACCGGAGAGUGUGCCGUAGGGUUGCCUGACUGGAGCUAACUACAUAAGUAUCGCUUGGGGAAGAAAGUCAAGGUUAGGUGCACGA